RNAcentral lists this transfer RNA (73 nucleotides) under Bacteriophage sp. RNAcentral describes it as "tRNA-Pro". It matches the Rfam family "tRNA". Rfam says of the family: Transfer RNA (tRNA) molecules are approximately 80 nucleotides in length. Their secondary structure includes four short double-helical elements and three loops (D, anti-codon, and T loops). The record is from RNAcentral.
CUGGAUAUAGUGUUUAAUGGUAGCACGCGUGCUUUGGGAGCAUGGAGAGUUGGUUCGAAUCCAGCUAUUCAGA